This is a non-coding RNA of Acanthosepion pharaonis, 106 nucleotides long. The record is from the annotation of a GenBank genome assembly. Lineage: Eukaryota; Metazoa; Mollusca; Cephalopoda; Sepiida; Sepiidae.
UUGCAGCCACAUCACGUUGGAACACCGGUUCCCGUACGAUCACCGAAGUUAAGCAAUGUCAAGCCUAGUCAGUACCUAGAUGGGUGACCACUUUGGAAUAUCAGGA